Molecule: ribosomal RNA, 532 nt
Filed under: uncultured bacterium
Lineage: Bacteria
Description: bacterial SSU rRNA
Rfam family: Bacterial small subunit ribosomal RNA
Source: RNAcentral
AAUAGAUACCCCGGUAGUCCACGCCGUAAACGAUGAGUGCUAGGUGUUGGGGGGACCACCCUCAGUGCCGCAGGUAACCCAAUAAGCACUCCGCCUGGGGAGUACGGUCGCAAGACUGAAACUCAAAGGAAUUGACGGGGGCCCGCACAAGCGGUGGAGCAUGUGGUUUAAUUCGAAGCAACGCAAAGAACCUUACCAGGGCUUGACAUCCCGCUGACCGGUGUAGAGAUAUGCCUUUCCCCUUCGGGGGACAGCGGUGACAGGUGGUGCAUGGUUGUCGUCAGCUCGUGUCGUGGGAUGUUGGGUUCAGUCCCGCAACGAGCGCAACCCCUAUUUCUAGUUGCCAGCAUUUCGGAUGGGCACUCUAGAGAGACAGCCGGUGAAAGCCGGAGGAAGGUGGGGAUGACGUCAAAUCAUCAUGCCCCUUAUGUCCUGGGCCACACACGUGCUACAAUGGCUGGCACAAAGGGUAGCCAACCCGCGAGGGGGAGCCAAUCCCAGAAAGCCAGUCUCAGUUCGGAUUGCAGGCUGC